CGCACAUUGCGCCCCUUGGUAUUCCGAGGGGCAUGCCUGUUCGAGCGUCAUUACAACCCUCAAGCACUGCUUGGUCUUGGGUUCCGCUGCUAACCCAGCGGGCCUCAAAAUCAGUGGCGGCGCCCUGAGGCUCUGAGCGUAGUAAAUAUUCCUCGCUAUAGGGUCCUCUUGGUGGUAGCCAUCAACCCCCAACUUUCUAAGUUUGACCUCGGAUCAGGUAGGGAUACCCGCUGAACUUAA
This 240-nucleotide unclassified non-coding RNA is filed under the name Hyaloscyphaceae sp. Its description in RNAcentral is "partial contains 5.8S ribosomal RNA, internal transcribed spacer 2, and large subunit ribosomal RNA". The record is from RNAcentral. Lineage: Eukaryota; Fungi; Ascomycota; Leotiomycetes; Helotiales; Hyaloscyphaceae.